UACGUAGGGACCAAGCGUUGUUCGGAUUUACUGGGCGUAAAGGGCGCGUAGGCGGCGCGGUAAGUCACUUGUGAAAUCUCUGAGCUUAACUCAGAACGGCCAAGUGAUACUGCAGUGCUAGAGUGUGGGAGGGGCAAUCGGAAUUCUUGGUGUAGCGGUGAAAUGCGUAGAUAUCAAGAGGAACACCUGAGGUGAAGACGGGUUGCUGGGCCAACACUGACGCUGAGGCGCGAAAGCCAGGGGAGCAAACGGG
This 253-nucleotide ribosomal RNA is filed under the name uncultured bacterium. RNAcentral's name for it is "partial 16S ribosomal RNA". It matches the Rfam family "Bacterial small subunit ribosomal RNA", at positions 524 to 776 of the family's 1533-position model. The record is from RNAcentral.